UAGGGAAUAUUGGGCAAUGGAGGCAACUCUGACCCAGCCACGCCGCGUGCAGGAGGAAGGCGCUCUGCGUUGUAAACUGCUUUAGCAGGGGAAGAAAAAGGCCAUGCGUGGCAAAUUGACGGUACCCUGAGAAUAAGCACCGGCUAACUACGUGCCAGCAGCCGCGGUAAUACGUAGGGUGCAAGCGUUGUCCGGAUUUAUUGGGUUUAAAGGGUGCGUAGGCGGUCUAUUAAGUCAGUGUUUAAAUUUUGCAGCUUAACUGUAGGUAUGGCAUUGAUACUGAUGGACUUGAAUAUUAGAGAGGUAGCUGGAAUUUAUGGUGUAGCGGUGAAAUGCAUAGAUACCAUAAGGAACACCGAUAGCGGAGGCAUGUUACCAUCUGGUUAUUGACGCUGAGGCACGAAAGUGUGGGGAUCAAACA
Molecule: ribosomal RNA, 421 nt
Filed under: uncultured Bacteroidota bacterium
Lineage: Bacteria; Pseudomonadati; Bacteroidota
Description: uncultured Bacteroidetes bacterium partial 16S ribosomal RNA
Rfam family: Bacterial small subunit ribosomal RNA
Source: RNAcentral